AUUGAACGCUGGCGGCAUGCUUUACACAUGCAAGUCGAACGGUAACAGGCCGCAAGGUGCUGACGAGUGGCGAACGGGUGAGUAAUGCAUCGGAACGUGCCCAGUCGUGGGGGAUAACGCAGCGAAAGCUGCGCUAAUACCGCAUACGAUCUAUGGAUGAAAGCGGGGGACCGUAAGGCCUCGCGCGAUUGGAGCGGCCGAUGUCAGAUUAGGUAGUUGGUGGGGUAAAGGCUCACCAAGCCGACGAUCUGUAGCUGGUCUGAGAGGACGACCAGCCACACUGGGACGGAGACACGGCCCAGACUCCUACGGGAGGCAGCAGUGGGGAAUUUUGGACAAUGGGGGCAACCCUGAUCCAGCAAUGCCGCGUGCAGGAAGAAGGCCUUCGGGUUGUAAACUGCUUUUGUACGGAACGAAACGGCUCUGGUUAAUACCCGGGGCUAAUGACGGUACCGUAAGAAUAAGCACCGGCUAACUACGUGCCAGCAGCCGCAGUAA
This 498-nucleotide ribosomal RNA is filed under the name uncultured bacterium. RNAcentral's name for it is "partial 16S ribosomal RNA". It matches the Rfam family "Bacterial small subunit ribosomal RNA", at positions 29 to 523 of the family's 1533-position model. The record is from RNAcentral.